GGCUGACAUCCUGAAGAACCUGGAAAAAACAAUGCUGGAAUCAAUCGAGCUGUUACUCAAGACUGAUGGUGUCUCAAUCCCAGACGUUACAGUGGAACUUGAGGAUGUGAGGAACCACUACAAUAAACUGAUGGGAAGCCCAGAUGAAGAACCACUAAUCUGUGCUGCACAGCUGAUUACCAACUGAAGAGUCCCGAGGGCUCGCUGAUUAGAGCCGGGAGGCCUCUGGAUUGAUCUCAACCAUUUUUGUCAGGCCAUUUAAUCCAUGUUCUUUUUGAGAUUUGUUUUGAUAUGUUGUUUGAAUUAGCUUGUAGUGAAUUAAAUGCAUAGAGAUUUAAGAUUUUUCUAUAUUUGGUAGCGCAUUUUUAGUUUUAAUUGAUAAAAGAUGCAGACAGAAAAUGUGUGGGGGGUGAGAGCGGGCUGUCAUGCAGCAAAGGUCCCCAGUGGAUUCAAACCAGGGACGCUAGGGUUUUCACGGUACUGGUCUUAGUCACCAGUCCACUAUGAUAUCUCAGACACAUUUUGUUUUUAAUGAUUUAAUGAACUCUUUUUUUCUUCUUCUUUAAUAUAUUUUUAAGUUUUUUGUUAUUCUUAGUUUAGUAUUGGUUGAUGGGAAUUGAAAUUCCAAUGAUUUUAUGGGUGUUAAACAAAGAUCCUGAACCUUGAUCACAGUACAUACUGUAGGUUUGAUUUGACAAAUACUUUAGGCUUUUCAAAGAAUGAAAAACCUUUCUUCUUUAAUGUUCAAGGACAAAAUUAGCUUGCUGUGUUUUUUGCUGGUGUUUUUUAAAUGUGUUCAUUAAAAUAUUUGAUAGAACUAGAUUCAUUCAUUCAUUCAUCUUCCAUAACCGCUUAUCCAGUUAAGGGUCGCGGGGGUGUUGGAGCCGAUCUCAGCUGUCAUUGGGCUAAGGCAGGGUACACCCUGGACAGGUCGCCAGUCUAUCACAGGGCCGACAUAUAUAGACAAAUAACCAUUCACGUUCACAUCCACACCUAUGGGCAAUUUAGAGUCAUCAUUAACCUAAGGUGCAUGUCUUUGGACUGUGGGAGAAAGCCGGAGAACCCGGAGAGAACCCACGCUGACACGGGGAGAAAUAGAACUAGAUGAUAUUAAUAAACCAGCCCAUCUGGUUUCUCAUUAUUUACUGAACAAUUAUUUUGUUUUAAUCUUCACAUGUUUUGUCAUGGUAUAUUGUCCAAUAAAGAUCACGUU
Molecule: long non-coding RNA, 1213 nt
Organism: Anoplopoma fimbria (sablefish)
Lineage: Eukaryota; Metazoa; Chordata; Actinopteri; Perciformes; Anoplopomatidae
Exons: 3
Source: RefSeq, a predicted model, not a curated record